This 76-nucleotide transfer RNA is filed under the name Pseudomonas syringae pv. daphniphylli. RNAcentral describes it as "tRNA-Lys". It matches the Rfam family "tRNA". Rfam says of the family: Transfer RNA (tRNA) molecules are approximately 80 nucleotides in length. The record is from RNAcentral. Lineage: Bacteria; Pseudomonadati; Pseudomonadota; Gammaproteobacteria; Pseudomonadales; Pseudomonadaceae.
GGGUCGUUAGCUCAGUUGGUAGAGCAAUUGGCUUUUAACCAAUUGGUCGUAGGUUCGAAUCCCACACGACCCACCA